CUUUGCCUCAGACUCUUCAGCCCCCAUUACAGCAUACCACUCCCCAAGCACAGGCUCAGAGUCUGAGUCGUCCUGCACAAGUAAGCCAGCCUUUCAGAGGAUUAAUUCCUGCUGGAACACAGCAUAGCAUGAUUGCAACCACAGGAAAAAUGUCUGAAAUGGAACUAAAAGCCUUUGGAAGUGGCAUUGAUAUAAAACCAGGCACACCUCCAAUCGCUGGUAGAAGCACCACACCAACAUCUAGUCCCUUCCGGGCUACUUCUACGAGUCCGAACAGCCAGUCCAGCAAAAUGAACAGCAUUGUCUACCAGAAGCAGUUCCAGUCAGCCCCUGCCACUGUGAGAAUGACACAACCAUUUCCUACACAGUUUGCACCCCAGAAGAGAGCUGUGGGAAGAGGACUCAGCCACAAGACAUUUGGUCCUAGGUGCAAAGCAGAGAGCAGAGGUUCUUCAGUCCACGCAACGGUUCUUCUCUGAACAGCAACAGAGCAAACAGAUAGGAGGAGGCAAAGCCCAGAAAGUGGACAGUGAUUCAAGUAAACCUCCUGAAACACUGACCGACCCUCCUGGGGUCUGUCAGGAAAAAGUAGAAGAAAAGCCACCCCCUGCACCCUCCAUAGCUACCAAACCUGUUAGAACUGGACCAAUCAAACCUCAGGCGAUCAAAACCGAAGAAACAAAAUCUUAAAGGCUAUGGUUUAUUGCAGGGGAUUGGGAGGGGGGCGGGAAAACAUGGAGAAUUAAGUCAGAUAAUGCUGGCAGCCAAAGGGGCAAAAUGGCCUGUGACAUUAUCCUGUUCAGAGCUUGGAGAUGUACAAGGGACAUAGGAGCAAUUUACACUGACACACAGCUGCUGUACCAGUGAAAACGAGGCUUUGCAAGCUUGUACCUACUAUAUAACGUGUGCUUGGUUGAUGGCCAUGCAUCUUCAGUCAGAAUUUAUAUAUAAAUAUAUGCACCCAUUUUUUUGAGUGCAUAUAAUUUAGACCUAAAAAUCCUUAUGAUUAGAUGAAACACCAAAAAUAUAAGCUAAAUAACACAGCAGAGGAAUAGCUCAGCCUGAA
Molecule: small RNA, 1066 nt
Filed under: Pan troglodytes (chimpanzee)
Lineage: Eukaryota; Metazoa; Chordata; Mammalia; Primates; Hominidae
Description: processed transcript
Source: RNAcentral